This 354-nucleotide transfer-messenger RNA is filed under the name Enhygromyxa salina. RNAcentral's name for it is "transfer-messenger RNA, SsrA". It matches the Rfam family "transfer-messenger RNA". Rfam says of the family: Bacterial tmRNA, also known as 10Sa RNA or SsrA, is named for its dual tRNA and mRNA-like properties. Its role is to liberate the mRNA from a stalled ribosome. Lineage: Bacteria; Pseudomonadati; Myxococcota; Nannocystales; Nannocystaceae. The record is from RNAcentral.
GGGGGUGCAUUGGCAUUCGACGUGGGUACGGAAGGUGAAGACAGCGUGCCGCGGGUCCAGCGCCGCGUUACAAACGCCGGGAAAACACAGCUGCCAACGACAGCAACUACGGCCGUCUGGCCGUUGCAGCCUAAUUAGCUGCACGCCUGCGUUUGAGGCGCCUCAGUAGGGCGUAGGCGUCAACACAGAGGCUAGCGAACCGGAGGUCCCGGUCGGUGCGCGAAACUCAGGGACUCGCUUCCGAGAGGGCCCGUCUGUGGGCAUGCUCGGCGGUCAAACCCAAAUCCGCAGACUACGCACGUAGACGUCCCAUCAGAAGACUCGCGGACCCGGGUUCGACUCCCGGCGCCUCCA